RNAcentral lists this long non-coding RNA (290 nucleotides) under Haliotis rubra (blacklip abalone). Its description in RNAcentral is "uncharacterized LOC124259818, transcript variant X2". Lineage: Eukaryota; Metazoa; Mollusca; Gastropoda; Lepetellida; Haliotidae. The record is from RNAcentral.
UUCCACCUCCAGUGACUCCCUGCAGGGAGAAUGUUGGCUUUACCAGUGUCCACACUAACGAGGUGACUCCCUGCAGGGAGAAUGUUGGCUUUACCAGUGUCCACACUAACGAGGUGACUCCCUGCAGGGAGAAUGUUGGCUUUACCAGUGUCCACACUAACGAGGUGACUCCCUGCAGGGAGAAUGCUGGCUUUACCAGUGUCCACACUAACGAGGUGACUCCCUGCAGGGAGAAUGUUGGCUUUACCAGUGUCCACACUAACGAGGUGACUCCCUGCAGGGAGAAUGUU